UUUUUGGGACCAAGGACCUCAAAUCAAAAGAUCCUAGGUCUCUAUCACUUAUGAUUUAUAAGAUAGAAAUUCAUAUCACUUAUAUCAGAUGCAUAAGGGGAAAUAACUCUCAUAUGGAGCGGUCAUAUCGCUUCGGUCAAAAUAGGACAAAUCAUGCGAAGGAUAUAACGAGCAAUUUUGUAAAAUAAAUUUGUCAUAAUCUUUUACGGUUGCGAAGGAGAUGCGCUAACAAGGAAAACAGUGUUUGGGGAGAUAACUCCUACAAAGAAAAGUAUUCGUUUACGCAGGGUAAAUUUCAAAAGUGCAUAAACUGUUCGAUAUCAUAUACCAAAUAUCUAAGCGACAUAUUGCGAAACAAAUGUUUAUCGCAAGAACAAAAUUAGGCGGAAGAAAAAAAAAAAAAAAAAAAAAAAUAAUCAGAAGAAAAACAAUAGGUCUUUCCACAGAAAAGUGGAAAGACCUAAUUAAAAACCAAUUGUUCAGAGAACAAUUGAAGGUCUUUCCAUCA
This 508-nucleotide long non-coding RNA is filed under the name Mytilus galloprovincialis (Mediterranean mussel). Lineage: Eukaryota; Metazoa; Mollusca; Bivalvia; Mytilida; Mytilidae. The record is from RNAcentral.